RNAcentral lists this long non-coding RNA (1953 nucleotides) under Marmota monax (woodchuck). Lineage: Eukaryota; Metazoa; Chordata; Mammalia; Rodentia; Sciuridae. The record is from RNAcentral.
UGACACCCAGCACACACACACAAAGCAUUUGCCUUUCUCCUCACCUGCCUUUCUGUUUCCCUUCUGUCUCCACUUCUCCUACUCUUCUGUCCCUAACAUCUGUUAUUGCCAUUUCAAACUUAGUGGUAUAGAAAAGUAAAUGAUUUGUUAUUAUCUUUCACAGAUCUGGGGCUUGCUGGGCUCAGGAGGACAGCACUCACUCAAGGUUUCUCCUGUAGUGUGAUCAGGUGGUGUUUGGGAUUUGAAUCCUUGAAAGAUCCCCCACUCAUCUGCCCCUGAGCUGGGAAUAAAAAUGGGGCUGAAACAGUAGGGAAUGCUGGGACACUUCUGACUGCAUGCUCUCUCUGGCAUGGUGACUUCAGGGUAGUCAGACUUACAUGACAGCUCAGGGUUUCAGAGGCACAGGUCAAGAGUCCAGCAGAGGAUAUGCCACCUUCUAUGUCUUGGCCUGGGGAGCACAUGGCUAAAUUCUCCAUUAUAUUUUUUAGAAACAAGGUGGUAAGGCCAGCCCAUAUACAAAGGGAAAUGAAUUAGACUCCACCUUAUAUAGGAAGAAUCUGUAGAUUUAUUUUUUAUUUUUGUUUAACUUGUUCAUAUUUUAAUACCCCUCCUACUCCCUUUCCAAUGAUGAAUCCUAAAGUUCUUAGGUGGGGUAGGCACACACCAGAGGGAAGACAAUGUGAAGACACACACCAGGGAAAGAACACCGCAUGGAGACACAGUGGAGUGGUGAGUCUAGGCCAAGGAAUGCCAAGAACAGUUGGCAGGCCAGGGUUGUGGCUCAGUGGUGGAGCACUAGCCUAGCAUGCGUGAGGCACUGAGUUUGAUCCCCGGCACCACAUAAAAAUAAACAAGUAAAAUAGAGGUAUUGUGUCCAUCUACAACUAAAAUAUUUAUUUAAAAAAAAAAAGGAAUUGUUGGCAACCACCAGCACCUGGAAGAGAGACAUAGAAGAUUCUUCCUAUGACCUUCAGAGAGAGCGUGGCCCUGCAGACACCUUGACUUCAGACUCCGAGCCUACCAAACUGUGAGACAGUAAAUUUGAUUGUUUUAAGUCACCUAGGAUUAUGGUUUGAAUCUGUAGUGUCCCUGAAAGGCUCUUGCAAUUAAAGGCUUGGUCCCCAAUGCAGCAAUGUCCUGAGGUAAGUCUUUUGGAAGUGACUGGAUCAUGUGGGCUCUAACCUCAUUAAUGAAUGAAUUAAUCCAUUUGAUGGGUUACUAAUCUGAAUGGAUUAUUGGGAAGUUGGAGGAAGUAGGUCAUGGGGAAGCCCUGAGCGGGAUUAUCUUGUCCCUGGCCCUUCCUCGAUCUCUCUGCUUCCUAGCUGCUGUGAGCUGAACAGCUUUCCUCCACCAUGCCCUUCUACCAGGAUGUGUCUCCCUUGGACUGAAAACUCUGAAACAGUAAAAUGAAUCUUUCCUUCAUUAAAGUUGUUUUAUUCUAGUAUUUGUCACAAGAAUGCAAAGCUAACUAGCAUACCUAGUUCGUGGUAUUUUGUUACAGCAGCCCUUAAAACUAACACAGGUACAUUAGGGAGAGCCACGUUUCAGAAUUGAAAUCGGGAUUAUGUCAGUGAAGGUAUAUUGUGAUCCCUUUUUUCAUCCUCCACCCUCUGCCCGCUCUCAGAUGGAAACUUGUCAGAGUCCUUUGGCCAACCUGACUAGCCUGAGAGAAAAGGUCUAGAGUUGUUGAAAUUGAGAGUCUUCCAAAAAUGACCCAGCGAUGAGGCUCAGCAGAUUCCACCUACACACACAAAAAGCUUCAUUUUAGUUCUCCAUUUUUAAAUCUUAACAGAAGAUUGAGGAUUGCCAGAUAGAUAGCUGAGACAAGCCUCCAUCCUGAAAGACAAAACAAAACAAAACAAACAACGGGGGUGUGGGGGCCAGGAGGAGCCAUAGAGAAAACAGCAGAUGGUGCAAGAGAAAGAAACUUUUUUUUUUCUAAUACUGGGGAUU